GGGCCCGUAGCUCAGCAUGGUUAGAGCGCCGGACUCAUAAUCCGGUGGCCCGGAGUUCAAGUCUCCGCGGGCCCA
This 75-nucleotide transfer RNA is filed under the name Thermoprotei archaeon. Its description in RNAcentral is "tRNA-Met". It matches the Rfam family "tRNA". Rfam says of the family: Transfer RNA (tRNA) molecules are approximately 80 nucleotides in length. RNAcentral also lists the same sequence under 4 other names. The record is from RNAcentral. Lineage: Archaea; Thermoproteati; Thermoproteota; Thermoprotei.